UGGAGAUGCUGGGUAUUGAUCCCAGUACCUCUCGCAUGCUAAGCGAGCGCUCUACCAUCUGACCUACAUCCCC
This 73-nucleotide transfer RNA is filed under the name Cordylochernes scorpioides. Its description in RNAcentral is "tRNA-Ala". Lineage: Eukaryota; Metazoa; Arthropoda; Arachnida; Pseudoscorpiones; Chernetidae. The record is from RNAcentral.